Non-coding RNA from Paralichthys olivaceus (Japanese flounder), 489 nucleotides. NCBI's taxonomy places the organism in Eukaryota, Metazoa, Chordata, Actinopteri, Pleuronectiformes, Paralichthyidae. The record is from RefSeq and is a predicted model, not a curated record.
GUCAGUUUCUUGUUGUGAGAUGCCGUUUCCAUGUCCAUGUGUUGUCUCACCACUCGUCGUUUCCAAUGCAGACUGAAGUGUCCCGACUGGGUGAAACUCUUUCCACAGAAGUCACACUGAUCCAGGAUCGCAGCUUGUGGAUAAUGGAUCAUGUUGAAAGCGGAUCCUGGAUUAUGAUUACAACUCGAUUAAUUAGAUAUACAAUAUGUCCUCUCACAUACACUAUAUUACUCUCAAUACCAAUAACAUUACAAUUGUCAUUGCUGCCACCUUCCUCUCUGUAAACACCUUCCUCUACUUUAAACAUCGAUACAUCUCUUAAUUUAUGUUAGACACUGUCUUUUCUCAUCAGUGUUGUAAAUAUUGUUAUUUUGUUGUGCUCUGCUACAUGCGACAUAUAUUGCACUUCAGUCUGUCCUGGCAGAGGGAUCCCUCACAUUUCUGUGGUUUCUACCUACUAAAAGAUAUCACAUCUUGUUAAGCACUAUA